Molecule: ribosomal RNA, 426 nt
Filed under: uncultured Candidatus Udaeobacter sp.
Lineage: Bacteria; Pseudomonadati; Verrucomicrobiota; Spartobacteria; Chthoniobacterales; Chthoniobacteraceae
Description: bacterial SSU rRNA
Rfam family: Bacterial small subunit ribosomal RNA
Source: RNAcentral
UCGAGAAUUUUUCUCAAUGGGGGAAACCCUGAAGGAGCGACGCCGCGUGGAGGAUGAAGGCUUUCGGGUUGUAAACUCCUGUCAUUUGGGAACAAUGCUAUUCGGUUUACUGCCGAGUAGUUGAUAGUACCAGAAGAGGAAGAGACGGCUAACUCUGUGCCAGCAGCCGCGGUAAUACAGAGGUCUCAAGCGUUGUUCGGAUUCAUUGGGCGUAAAGGGUGCGUAGGUGGCGUGGUAAGUCGGGUGUGAAAUUUCGGAGCUUAACUCCGAAACUGCAUUCGAUACUGCGGUGCUUGAGGACUGGAGAGGAGACUGGAAUUCAUGGUGUAGCAGUGAAAUGCGUAGAGAUCAUGAGGAAGACCAGUGGCGAAGGCGGGUCUCUGGACAGUUCCUGACACUGAGACACGAAGGCCAGGGGAGCAAACG